RNA transcript from Sapajus apella (tufted capuchin), 394 nucleotides. It is a transcript of the gene named translation machinery-associated protein 7 pseudogene, with no coding region annotated. The transcript has a single exon. Lineage: Eukaryota; Metazoa; Chordata; Mammalia; Primates; Cebidae. The record is from RefSeq and is a predicted model, not a curated record.
UUCCGGUGGCAGGGUCUGGGAAAGGGGCGGCAGGCACCAUGUCCGGCCGGGAAGGUGGCAAGAAGAAGCCCCUGAAACAGCCCAAGAAGCAGGCCAAGGAGAUGGACGAGGAAGAUAAGGCUUUCAAGCAGAAACAAAAAGAAGAGCAGAAGAUACUCGAAGAGCUAAAAGCAAAGGCCGCGGGGAAGGGGCCCCUGGCCACAGGUGGAAUUAAGAAAUCUGGCAAAAAGUAAGCUGUUCCUUGUCCCUGAGGAGAUGGGGACCCUUUAUUUCAUCCGUAUUUAAACAUCUGUAUUCCCUGCCAUAGAUCUUUUGCCACCUAUAGCUGGAAUUAAGUGUUGUCUUGGAGCUGUUGUACAUUUAAGAAUAAACUUUUGUAUUUAAAAAAAAAAAA